Molecule: ribosomal RNA, 499 nt
Filed under: uncultured bacterium
Lineage: Bacteria
Description: partial 16S ribosomal RNA
Rfam family: Bacterial small subunit ribosomal RNA
Source: RNAcentral
GAUGAACGCUGGCGGCGUGCCUAAUACAUGCAAGUCGAGCGAACAGACGAGAGUGCUUGCACUCUCUGACGUUAGCGGCGGACGGGUGAGUAACACGUGGGUAACCUACCUAUAAGACUGGGAUAACUUCGGGAAACCGGAGCUAAUACCGGAUAAUAUUUAGCUUCGCAUGACGCAAUAGUGAAAGACGGUUCUGCUGUCACUUAUAGAUGGACCCGCGGUGUAUUAGCUAGUUGGUGAGGUAACGGCUCACCAAGGCAACGAUACAUAGCCGACCUGAGAGGGUGAUCGGCCACACUGGGACUGAGACACGGCCCAGACUCCUACGGGAGGCAGCAGUAGGGAAUCUUCCGCAAUGGACGAAAGUCUGACGGAGCAAUGCCGCGUGAGCGAAGAAGGUUUUCGGAUCGUAAAACUCUGUUGUAAGGGAAGAACAAGUACGUUAGUAACUGAACGUACCUUGACGGUACCUUACCAGAAAGCCACGGCUAACUACGUG